CGGGGGCGACGGGCGGAACUUAAGCAUAUCAGUACGCCCCGGAGGAGAAACCAACCGGGAUUCCCCGUAGCGGCGAGCGACGCGGGAGGAGCCCGCCCCGAAGGCGCGCUGUGGGGCGCAGGCGCAGGCCCGCCGCGAGGGGGCCCGAGGGCCCCGCCCGAGAGGGUGCAAGCCCCGUACGGCGGCCGCCGGGCCUGCGCGGCGAGUAGCGCUGCUUGAGCGUGCAGCGCGAAGGGAGGCGCGGCCCUUCCAAGGCUAAAUACGCCCCGGGACCGAUAGCGGACCAAGUAGCGCGAGCGAACGGUGAAAAGGACGCCCUGCGGCCGCUCAAAAGACCUGAACCCGGCCGGCCGCCGGCCCGCCGGCCCCGUCUCGAAACACGGACCGAGGAGCCACGCGCCGCGGCGAGCCCGAGGGAGCCCCCGCGGCGGAGCGAGCGCGAGACGCCCCGGGCCCGCCGCCCCCUGCGGGCGUGCGCGGGCCGAGCCGCGGCGCGUGGGCCCGAAAGGCGGUGAUCUAUGCCCGGCGAGGGCGAGGCCGGGCGAAAGCCUGGUGGAGGCCCGCCGCGGUGCUGACGCGCAGAUCGCUCGUCGGAGCCGGGCAUGGGGGCGAAAGACUCAUCGAACCGCCUGGUAGCUGGUUGCCUCCGAAAUGUCU
Giardia duodenalis is the source of this 657-nucleotide ribosomal RNA. NCBI's taxonomy places the organism in Eukaryota, Fornicata, Diplomonadida, Hexamitidae. The record is from RefSeq and is a predicted model, not a curated record.